This 500-nucleotide ribosomal RNA is filed under the name uncultured microorganism. RNAcentral describes it as "bacterial SSU rRNA". It matches the Rfam family "Archaeal small subunit ribosomal RNA", at positions 234 to 734 of the family's 1478-position model. The record is from RNAcentral.
UGUCGGGGUAACGGCCCAACAAGCCAGUAAUCGGUACGGGUUGUGGGAGCAAGAGCCCGGAGAUGGAUUCUGAGACACGAAUCCAGGCCCUACGGGGUGCAGCAGGCGCGAAAACUUUACAAUGCGGGUCACCGCGAUAAGGGAACCUCGAGUGCCAGCAUACAAUGUUGGCUGUCCAGGUGCCUAAAAAGCAUCUGUUAGCAAGGGCCGGGCAAGACCGGUGCCAGCCGCCGCGGUAAUACCGGCGGCUCGAGUGGUGGCCACUUUUAUUGGGCUUAAAGCGUUCGUAGCUGGGUUAUUAAGUCCCUUGGGAAAUCCGACGGCUUAACCGUCGGGCGUCUAAGGGAUACUGGUAAUCUUGGAACCGGGAGAGGUGAGGGGUACUUCGGGGGUAGGAGUGAAAUCUUGUAAUCCUCGAGGGACCACCUGUGGCGAAGGCGCCUCACCAGAACGGCUUCGACAGUGAGGGACGAAAGCUGGGGGAGCAAACCGGAUUAGAU